RNAcentral lists this ribosomal RNA (253 nucleotides) under uncultured bacterium. Its description in RNAcentral is "partial 16S ribosomal RNA". It matches the Rfam family "Bacterial small subunit ribosomal RNA", at positions 524 to 776 of the family's 1533-position model. The record is from RNAcentral.
GACGAACCGUGCAAACGUUAUUCGGAAUCACUGGGCUUAAAGGGCGCGUAGGCGGGUUCUCAAGUCAGGGGUGAAAUCCCGCGGCUCAACCGUGGAAGUGCCUUUGAUACUGGGAAUCUCGAGGGAGGUAGGGGCGUGCGGAACUUCCGGUGGAGCGGUGAAAUGCGCAGAUAUCAGGAGGAACACCGAUGGCGAAGGCAGGUCUCUGGGCCACUACUGACGCUGAGAAGCGAAAGCAUGGGGAGCGAACAGG